GGGGCGGUUGAGUGGCGAACGGGUGAGUAACGCGUGGACGACCUACCCCGGCGCGGGGGAUACCCGCCAGAAAUGGCGGCUAAUACCGCGUACGGUCCUUCGGGUGUAGCCCGGGGGAAGAAAGCAGCGAUGCGCGCUGGGAGGGGUCUGCGUCCGAUUAGCUAGUUGGCGGGGUAACGGCCCACCAAGGCGGUGAUCGGUAGCGGGUCUGAGAGGAUGAUCCGCCACACGGGGACUGAGACACGGCCCCG
Molecule: ribosomal RNA, 251 nt
Filed under: uncultured bacterium
Lineage: Bacteria
Description: partial 16S ribosomal RNA
Rfam family: Bacterial small subunit ribosomal RNA
Source: RNAcentral